CUUGGGGGGAGCAGGGUCCCUCAGCCCAGAUUGUGAGAGGCCAGGCUGAGGGACCCCACCAGUGCACG
Molecule: microRNA precursor, 68 nt
Filed under: Myotis brandtii (Brandt's bat)
Lineage: Eukaryota; Metazoa; Chordata; Mammalia; Chiroptera; Vespertilionidae
Description: mir-9193 microRNA precursor family
Rfam family: mir-9193 microRNA precursor family
Source: Rfam by way of RNAcentral